CAUCCUUCUACUCUUACUGAUACUGUUGACCUGGGUUCCUUGUGUGCUCCUCUGCACUCUACCGAGGUGCAAAACUUGACUUCUCUAGUGGCUCUGAUCACAGCCUUGUCCCACCAAUGGGAUGGUCCCUCCAGUCCUGUCUGGAUCUUAAUGCUGUUUGCUGAAGUCCAUGAGCCUUAACCCAAAUCAGCUGAAGAAAGAAUCAGACCCAAAGAAGAGUUCCUGCAAUUUAAUGAAACAUGGUGACAGCUUCUGGAAGAAGAGUACUGCAACUCACACCUGGACACCCAGUCUGAAUGUCUAUCAGGCCUUGAUAACCAAAAUGAACUGGAAAGAAAUGCAGUAACUUCCUUACCAUACCCCAGAGAUCAAUGGCAUAGAAUUCCCAGGAAGGGACUGGAGAAGUCUCCCAGCUUGCCAGAUAUCCAUGAAUCCAAACGGAAAAGAGAACAGGGCACAUGACACUUAAUCCCAGUGUGAGCAAAGGCUGCCCUCAUACCCAGAAAAACAACUGAUAGCUAACAUAGGACUGAGACCUCCGGGAAGCUGUCCAGGAGCAAUAUCUCCUCUGUGGAAGACAAAAGCUUGGGACAAACUCCAAGGUCUUCUCUGCAUGGGUAGUGGGAAGGGAACAGUGUAAUGUUUGGGAUCACCUGAGCUAGCUGGCAUCCAGGUGUUGAGGUUUAUUGCACCGGAGUUUCCAUAAAGAAAUUUUUCAUCAAUUAGGAAUGCGUGUACUUUUUCAAAGAAACUCAGGGGGUCUGCAGAGCCUGAUGGAUAUGCUUAUGAAUUUCAAAGUGGCAAUGUGGAGUGUAGCUAGCAAGACAUGAGCCAUUGCAGAAAGAUGAAUUCAUAGGCAGGACUUUUUAGAGAAUGGAUUUGAGAAUGAAAGACUAAUUCCACCAACCUGCUUCAUUCAUUUAUUUAAAUUUUUGCUAUAAAAUGAACAGCAGAGGAAAGCCAAAACUUGCACUGAUGACUUUCCUUCUUUUCCCUAACCUUCUUUUAUUUAUUAAACUGCUCUGGAUACACCUUUCAAAGAACUUUUUUUUUUUUUUUGGCUCACUGUUUAUUAUAGCUUCAUCAGCCUUGAAAUGGGAGCUGCAGGCAGCUUGAUAAAUGGAUUGAAAAGCUGCUUCUGCCAGAAUCAAACUAACAAAACCCCCUCAAUAUCCAUAAACCAUUUUGUUUUAGCAUUUCUAAAACCAGCACGAUUUCCCUCAGAGCAUCAUUGAAGAGUGACGCACCAGUAUCCCUCAGUGUUUCAGCAAAGGGAUUACUUUAUCCAGUUGUGCCCAGGGCAGAAGUUCGUCACUGGGUCAUGAACAGGACUCAGCCUGCAGCAUUGGAGAGCAAGGGCAGCUGGGGUAUGGUCGAGGGAGGGACAGAGAGACGGUCCUAGGAAGGCUGAGCAAAUCUUAACUCUGAAAUGUGCUGUGCAGAUCAAUGGAGUAAACAAGCCAAGACGUAUGAAGUUGGGUCCUGCUCACAGACACUAGCAGCUGUCCUGCUUCCGUACAGCUAUUUUUUACUUAGCAUCCUGCUUCUACCAGUGAGGAAUCACUGACACCAUGACAAAACUUGAUGGACGUAGGAAGAGGUGUCCUGCCUGGGUAAUAGUUACUUGACCUCCAGCAGAAGGAAGAAGAUAUUUAUUUCCUCUGUCAGUGGAGAACUUUUGUGAACGGUAAGCCACAGCAGUACAACCUUACCUACUAGAAGGUGGGAAACCCAUCAACUGCUAGAGAGAGAUCCUGCUCCUUAUUUCCUAAGGAAACCUGUAAUCAUCAGCUAAGGAGAGGAUGAGGUGUGAGGGGCUGCCCUGGAUCUAGUCCAGUUGGUGCAUUUUUAUCUCAGAGGGAAUUUUUCAAGGAGACAGCUAUCAUCAGUAUAUGACUUUUGGGCAACCAGAGCUGAAUUAAUCAAGAGAGAUCUUUGGCUUACCAAAUGUGCCAGUAAUAGGAAGUCAUCCUGGACUGAGCACAUCCAAUGUUCAGACUCAGUAGGACUCGGGUUUAGCUCAGAUUUGCACCCAGGGCAGAUUCCAAUAGGCAUAGACUUUGAACCUAGACACUUUCCACCUAUCUGAAUAUGGUGGGAAAAUUGCAGUGCCCUUGGCAUCUGCAUAAGAGAAGCAUUCACCUGGUAGUUCAUAGCCAUGUCUACUGUGGAGCUCAAUGGUUGUGAUGAACUUGGGUAAGCUGCAAAAUGGAUAGAUGAAAUGCCUUACUUAAAAGUGGCUCAAAGGAGCAGCAGAAGCUAUGAGCAACUGGGAGAGGUCUCUGGAGGGAGCAGGACAGACACAGCUGAGCCGCCUUUCCCAGAGUCUACUUAGCAUGGGCCAAAGCCCUCAUUUACUAUUGACUGGAGGGAUGUUUUACAAGUGCCCCUGCUGGUUUAGAGAGAUAUGAAAUCUGUCUGUAAUUAAGUUAAUUUGGAGUUGAACACGGGCAAAGAUAAUAAGCUGGAAAUAACAAAAGAAGAGUAAGAAAGAGGAGAAGGAGUUGCUAAGAAACAGAUCUCUUGCACUAAAUCCUCCCCCCCAAUCAAAUAAACCAUUUUUAGGAUGGCUGAGCGAUGGGGCAGACAGAGCACAGGCAUGGAAAUGAUUGCUAUAUCAAGACCUCAAAAGAAUGAAGGAGAUAGGAAGGUUAUGACUUGGAGAACUGAGAAAGGCAAAAAGGGAGAGGAAAAUUAUUUCUUUUGCAGGUGACAGGUGUGGCCAGCACAGUUUAGUGGCAGAGCAGUGGCUUUGGGAUCAGCAGGUGGUGUCCUGUGCCUGACUUGCCUGCCAGUCUGAAUGAACACCUCCAACGCUCUGAGCCUCCACUGGGAAGUGCUCUGGGACUGGCUACCACCAUGUCUUGCUUAUAAAAGAUGAGCAAAUAACCCCUCUUAAAGCACAAGGCUUUUACCUUCUCCAGUAUUUGACCCUGGUGAGAGUUCUCACUGGAGUCAAGCACCAGGGUGAAGACUUAAGGCUGUUUCUCCAUGGCUUUUAGAAAUGAUAUAAAAAAUAGCAUGUUCAAGCUAAAAGGAGGAUGGAAAAGAGGUCUGCAGAAAGGACCAGAAUACUUAACAGUCAGCAAAGCAUAAGUAAAUAGACAAGUUAUGAUCAAUGAGUUUGUUUGAAUUUGACAGAGCUUUCGUGCAAACAUAGGGGAAGGAAGGGGGGUGAAACAUUCCCUGCCAGUAUGAGCUGUAAUAAAGGACCUGCUGUUUUCUGAUUCUCACUCUCUGUGAAAAUUGAAAAGGUUAGCCAGGUAAUUGAAAUCGGGACUGGAAUACAAAUAUGGUGUGAAAACCCUACAGCUGGCAAAUAAAGUUGCAGGGAAAAGA
Molecule: long non-coding RNA, 3339 nt
Organism: Harpia harpyja (harpy eagle)
Lineage: Eukaryota; Metazoa; Chordata; Aves; Accipitriformes; Accipitridae
Exons: 3
Source: RefSeq, a predicted model, not a curated record